AAAUUUAAAUGCAGAUACAGAACUAGAAAGAAUAAAAGGCAAAAGUCAUCUUUCACUUCUCUCUCCAUAGAUAACUGCUGGUGACAUUCUGGAAGGUGUUUCUGCAUGGCUUCCGUUUGUCCUUCUAAUCUGUUCCCCACCCUUCUCCACCCUAGGCUACCCUGCAGCUGGGAGGCUGACCCACACCAGACUGCAUGAAUGACCCCUUGCUCUCUGGCCUCUCGCUGGCCUUGGCCACAGGGAGACACUAGCGGGAGAUGGGAGGUGGAGAGGAGUGAUGUCAAGAGACUGAUGCUCUCCGGUUCUGUUGUGCCUGGACCAAGUGAUCUCUCAGUCACUGCAAGUGCUGAGAGUACUCCCUUCCUUUCAUUCUACGUGAUGGAGAGUCUUCUAAAAGCUGUGUGCACAUCACCAUCAUGGAAUGGGGAUUAUACGGUUUCCUGAUGCUGACACAGCAUACAGAUAUAUUCAGGUGUGCUGCUUAAAAAGGAAAUUAAAGAGCCAUGUGAGCCAAA
This is a long non-coding RNA of Neofelis nebulosa (Clouded leopard), 515 nucleotides long. RefSeq lists it as uncharacterized. Lineage: Eukaryota; Metazoa; Chordata; Mammalia; Carnivora; Felidae. The transcript has 2 exons. The record is from RefSeq and is a predicted model, not a curated record.